AGUCACACAUUAGAUACCCCCGUAGUCCCAGCCGUAAACUAUGCGCGUUAGGUGUAUCGGUGACCACGAGUCACCGAGGUGCCGAAGGGAAACCGUGAAACGUGCCGCCUGGGAAGUACGGUCGCAAGGCUGAAACUUAAAGGAAUUGGCGGGGAGCACCACAACGGGUGGAGCCUGCGGUUUAAUUGGACUCAACGCCGGGAAGCUCACCGGAUAAGACAGCGGAAUGAUUGCCGGGCUGAAGACUCUGCAUGACUAGCUG
This 262-nucleotide ribosomal RNA is filed under the name uncultured archaeon. RNAcentral's name for it is "partial 16S ribosomal RNA". It matches the Rfam family "Archaeal small subunit ribosomal RNA", at positions 715 to 982 of the family's 1478-position model. The record is from RNAcentral.